RNAcentral lists this transfer RNA (71 nucleotides) under Pleuronichthys coenosus (C-O sole). Its description in RNAcentral is "tRNA-Gly". It matches the Rfam family "tRNA". From Rfam's summary of the family: Transfer RNA (tRNA) molecules are approximately 80 nucleotides in length. Lineage: Eukaryota; Metazoa; Chordata; Actinopteri; Pleuronectiformes; Pleuronectidae. The record is from RNAcentral.
AUCUUCCUAUUACAAAGCUAGUAUAAGUGACUUCCAAUCACCCGAUCUUGGUUAAAAUCCAAGGGAAGAUA